This is an RNA transcript of Spinacia oleracea (spinach), 1882 nucleotides long. It is a transcript of the gene named structural maintenance of chromosomes protein 5, with no coding region annotated. The record is from RefSeq and is a predicted model, not a curated record. Lineage: Eukaryota; Viridiplantae; Streptophyta; Magnoliopsida; Caryophyllales; Amaranthaceae. The transcript is spliced from 8 exons.
AUGUGGUUUCUUAGGAAAAAUAUGAGAAACCUCACACCUUAAAUAUAUGGUUUCUUAGAUAAUAUUAUAUUUAAGAAAAAAUCACAAAGAAACUGAAGAUCUUUUAACCAAUUUCUUACGCAUAUAUUAGAUAAAGUAUCAUUUUUAUUUUUAAUUUAAUUAAGGUUGGGAUUUUUAUUUUAUAUUUUGAUUUUGGAUUCCCUCAUAAUCGUUUAUCCGCAUCCGCAACCGCAACCGCAACCGCAACCGCAAAUGAAAGAAAAUGAAACCCCUAAAUCCCCACUACUAUCUCUCCGUUUCCUGAACAUUCAGCAACCCUAAAUCCUUAUUUCACUCUUCGCACUCUUGAUAAGAUUUUUCUUGAAUUUCGCUGCAGGUGCAUCAAGAAUCUGGAUGGCAAUCAGCUCCAGCAACCUUGUGAUGAUUGAUUGAUUCCCCAUCACUCAGAGCUGCUUUAAACCAAUAUGCUGAGAGACUGGACCUGAAAGAAUACUCAAAAUUGAUAGAGCUUUCCCACAUAUAUCCACUAGCUCUAGAUUUCAGUGCUGUUCUUAUAUAUAUAUAUAUAUAUAUAUAUAUAUAUAUAUUUAAUCGAAUGGAAAUCGUUUGUUCUGAAGUUACAUACAUUUGUUUCCUUUGCCUUCAGAUGCCUGGUACAGUUGAGGAACUUGAGGCUAAUUUGGAGCAAGCUAGUUCCAUCCUCCUACUCAAUCAAAAUGUUGUGGCAGAAUAUGAAAUGCGACAAAGAAAGAUUGAAGCCCUGGCAAGAACACUUGAAGAAGAAGAACAUGGAUUAAGGACUCUUUUGGCUGAAAUAGAUGCCUUGAAGCUUCAGGCUAGCUGGCUUCCAACAUUGCAGAAUCUUGUUUCUCAGAUCAAUGGAACAUUUGGUCAUAAUUUCCAGGAGAUGGCUAUUGCUAGAGAAGUAUUAUUAGAUGAGCACGACAUGGACUUUGGUGCAUACGGUAUUGUUAUAAAAGUAAAGUUCAGGGGCUGUGAGCAGUCACUACAAGAGAAGCUCUUAAAGUAGAUCAAGGAAUCUCGAUCAGGUGAGUUUAAAGAAGCAAAUACAACAAUGCAACAAGCUCGUGAUACUUGUGGUUUUUCUACAUUUGUCUGUGUAUAUAUCUAAAUGAAUCGUUUGACUAGUUAGCUCCCUAAGGCAAAGCCUAAUCCUAUUCCUAAUCAACUGCCUGACUCUGGUUUGUACAAGAGAGCUACCAAGAAGGCUAGGCCUAAUUUUGUUCAACUGUUUGAAUGUGAUUCACACAAGAGGGCCAACGAGAAGGGUGAAUCCUGCUCAUGUAUUCCGAAGUUUCCAACACUUGAAGAAAUGUGUGGCAGCGAAAAUUCUGGUGAACAACAAUCCUCCUCCAGCUCUAGUGAAAAAAGAACAAGUAUAGGAUCUGGUACACUACAACUUGCAGCUUUAAUUAGGAAAAUAAUUGACAUACACUAGUAUUUUAACAUAAGAUAAGUGCAUAAGUCUUACUUCCUAAGGAUUUUUAGGAACUAAAAGAGUUUCCUAACGACUAAAACAUCUUUUCCAUCAUCAGCAUUUGUCAAUUAAUCAUUUGAUCCAGGCUAUAGAGUAUUUCCAACAAGACAGCUUGAGAGUUGAUAUGUGGCUAAGGUUGUCACAGAACGAACAAGUUUAAUAUGUUUAAGAAUUUUUCCCUGAGGGGUCGUUUAUUCCGGGGUCAAUCCGCCAAACUUGCGAGUGAUGCCUGUCUGAUGUGUCUGCUGAUUGUGCUGAUGUUGGAGAGCCUUUGGAACAAUGAAGCUUAUUGGGGAGAUAUUGUGAUGUUUGGGAUGGGUGUUAAUUAUGUAAUAAACAAUAAUGUGGUUCUAUAUUAGUAGUUCUUGUUUUAUUGGUUUUUAA